AUACGUAGGGUGCAAGCGUUAAUCGGAAUUACUGGGCGUAAAGCGUGCGCAGGCGGUUUUGUAAGACAGUGGUGAAAUCCCCGGGCUCAACCUGGGAACUGCCAUUGUGACUGCAAGGCUGGAGUGCGGCAGAGGGGGAUGGAAUUCCGCGUGUAGCAGUGAAAUGCGUAGAUAUGCGGAGGAACACCGAUGGCGAAGGCAAUCCCCUGGGCCUGCACUGACGCUCAUGCACGAAAGCGUGGGGAGCAAACAGGAUUAGAUACCCUGGUAGUCCACGCCCUAAACGAUGCCAACUGGUUGUUGGGGAUUUAUUUUCUCAGUAACGAAGCUAACGCGUGAAGUUGACCGCCUGGGGAGUACGGCCGCAAGGUUAAAACUCAAAGGAAUUGACGGGG
This 395-nucleotide ribosomal RNA is filed under the name uncultured bacterium. RNAcentral's name for it is "partial 16S ribosomal RNA". It matches the Rfam family "Bacterial small subunit ribosomal RNA", at positions 523 to 918 of the family's 1533-position model. The record is from RNAcentral.